UUCCAAAUUGGAGACAUGAGGUUGCCU
Molecule: non-coding RNA, 27 nt
Filed under: Mus musculus (house mouse)
Lineage: Eukaryota; Metazoa; Chordata; Mammalia; Rodentia; Muridae
Source: RNAcentral